Molecule: ribosomal RNA, 443 nt
Filed under: uncultured bacterium
Lineage: Bacteria
Description: bacterial SSU rRNA
Rfam family: Bacterial small subunit ribosomal RNA
Source: RNAcentral
UAGGGAAUAUUGGACAAUGGGCGAGAGCCUGAUCCAGCCAUGCCGCGUGCAGGAAGAAGGCCUUCUGGGUCGUAAACUGCUUUUCACCGGGGAUAAAAAGGCCUUGCGAGGCAAAUUGAAGGUACCGGUGGAAUAAGCCACGGCUAACUACGUGCCAGCAGCCGCGGUAAUACGUAGGUGGCAAGCGUUGUCCGGAUUUAUUGGGUUUAAAGGGUGCGUAGGCGGCCCUGUAAGUCAGUGGUGAAAUACGGCAGCUCAACUGUCGAGGUGCCAUUGAUACUGCGGGGCUUGAGUACUGAUGAGGUAGGCGGAAUUGACGGUGUAGCGGUGAAAUGCUUAGAUAUCGUCAAGAACACCGAUAGCGAAGGCAGCUUACUAAACAGUAACUGACGCUGAGGCACGAAAGUGCGGGGAUCAAACAGGAUUAGAUACCCCCGUAGUCC